Molecule: ribosomal RNA, 220 nt
Filed under: uncultured archaeon
Lineage: Archaea
Description: partial 16S ribosomal RNA
Rfam family: Archaeal small subunit ribosomal RNA
Source: RNAcentral
CACUGAUCCAUUGAAGCCCACCAGUGGCGAAGGCGGCUUGCCAGAACGCGCUCGACGGUGAGGGAUGAAAGGUGGGGGAGCAAACCGGAUUAGAUACCCGGGUAGUCCCAGCUGUAAACGAUGCAGACUCGGUGAUGGGCUGGCUUAGUGCCAACCCGGUGCCGCAGGGAAGCCGUUAAGUCUGCCGCCUGGGGAGUACGGUCGCAAGACUGAAACUUAA